This 38192-nucleotide long non-coding RNA is filed under the name Cucumis sativus (cucumber). Its description in RNAcentral is "long non-coding RNA (CSAT_LNC002586)". The record is from RNAcentral. Lineage: Eukaryota; Viridiplantae; Streptophyta; Magnoliopsida; Cucurbitales; Cucurbitaceae.
UUUUUUGAAAGUUGAGAAUUUAUUAAACACUUUUAAGGUUGAUCCAACUUAUUAAAAAAUAGUUUGAGAGUUUAAAUCUAUUGUAUGUCACUAAAAUAUGUCAUCCUUAAAACUUUGGCUAUAUUCUAUUAAAACUGUUUUUACCUUAUAUGCUUUGAACCUACAACAAUAUUUUCCAACCAUUUCUAGAACCUGAUUUCUAAAAUUGUUUUCUCCAAAACAGGGCAUUUCAAACUCGAGUUGGCCUCUUGCUCAGCAAGUGUCGCACAAUCGUUUUGUGCCACUAACCAUGCAUGAUGGAAAGUUAAACGAUGGGAUAGCCAAAUAAUCCACCUUCCUUGACCUAGCAAAGAAUAUGAUAUGGCUACAAGGUUAAGUAAUAUUUUUAUGUACAGAUUAAAUUGUAUGAAAUGUGGCUAUGUUAUGUGGAAGCCACUAUUAACUCAUUGUCGAAGUGCAGUGAUUGAGAUUGUAUAUAUCUGUUGGAAAGCACAUUUCCACAGUUGUGCAAACUAUAAAUCCCACCACUUUCAAUUAAAUGUAGUAGAAAAUAGUAUCACUGCAUCAGUCAUUUAUGCAUUUCACAUGGUAUUGUACUUUAGUUAGUGUACAAAAUUAGCUGCCACAGAAUUGAAUAUAUGGGGAGGAAUCAAGAGUAAAUUCUUUUGUUUAGGUUAGUGUUUUGUUGGUUCUGUUUUGGAAUAAACAUAAUCAAUAUACUGUUAAUCACAGUAAUAAGUCUCUUAAAUAGCAGUUAACUGAAUCCAGAGUAAUUGGUUAUCCCAGUCUAUUAUACCUUGAAAUAAUUGUUAUUUGACCUGCUUAGAUCUUCAUCUUCUGAGUAAUUCCUAUAUAGCUACUGUAGAGAAUAAAUGGAAGAAUAAUAAAGAAUUAAAAUAGGAAAAGAAGAAGAUUGUCCAACUAAUAUCAUCUAUUCAGUUUCGUGUUUCUGUCACGAAGAGACAGAAGUGUACAAUAUUGUAAAAGAAUGAGUUUGUUUUCAAAAGUGUUGAAACUCUUCUCUGUCUACGUUCUACUAUACUGUUCUAUACCUUCCUUUGUACCGUCUAUUUCUAAACUCUAUCCUUAUGACUCAUGAGUCAUUUAAACUAUGAAUAAGAUUAACAAAAGUAUCUUCAUUGCAGGGAAUUGUGAUGCCACCCAUUGCAUAAUCAUAUCCAAAUUCUUCUUCAGCUUGACUCAACAAAUCUUGAAACAAAGGAUGGUUCAAGUAAGAUAGCGAGAUGACAAAACGCUUCUUCUGUUCUUCUCCGACAUAGACCGUAAAGCAUCCUUUCGGAACAUCAAGAGACUUUGGAGUGGCUCUAUUUCCUGACGAUGUGGAUCGUCGAAGACUUGGCUUAGCAAGAACAAUGCUAGGCAAACGAAACCCCAUGGUAUAGUAUUUUUCUUUUCAAGGAAUUAGUGGAACUUUAACUUGAAGGAUUGUGAAAGAAGAUUUCUUGUGAUGUGGGAAUGUGGAAGGCUUGCUGUUUGUGAACCCAAUUACAUGAUCCUUUAUAUAAAUGGAGGGUGAGAUUUAUUGGAGAUAGAAAUAUUGACAACGCAAGAAGGUAGCAUUAAAUGCUAGAAAGGAACCAGCUCAAAAACAAUCACAUGGAUUUGUCUUUGAAGCCAUAAUGAGAACUUCAAGUUCAUGAGUUAACGUGGGGCCAUUUUGGAUCCUUGCGUAGAAACAUCAUAGGUGGCCUACUUUUGUUUAUGGACAAUAUUGAGAAGAGAAUUCAAUACAACUAAGCAAGUUCCAGUAGAUUCAUAGACAUAUUUGAGGCACUGAAGUUUUUGUUGUCCUCUUGGUGAGAUAACAAUUGACAGACUAUAUGUUGACAGAAAAUUUAACUGCAUCAUAUAGCCAUGUCUGUCACAAUUUUUCGUGGUAUAAGAAUUUUAACUAAAGUGGGUUUUUUGUCGGUUGUAAAGCUCGGAAAAUUCAUAUGUACGGGUACCGUAGUACAACAGAAACUUGUAAGUGGAAGAAAAUACUUCAAGUACAAGAUGACAAAGAAAAAGAAACCCAAUUGUUAGUUUAGCAUUCAUUAUGAAGAGAACAUUUCUUUUUCUGAGCAAGAAACGUAAAUAUUCAAUGAUGUAACGAAGAGAAUAAUACUGAUAACAAACGCAAUAACAAUAAGACACUAUAAAUAAUAGGUUAAAAAAAAAAUUCUAAGAAGAAAGAUCUAUGAAAGUACCCCAAUUAAUAUAAAUAUUCUGACGGGAAAAUCUCAUGAUCAACUUGGAUAAAGAACACCAUGAUGAAGCCUUCAAAGGAGCUGAUUUGAAAUGAUCGACCUAAGGAAGAAGCUUGCCAUGGAAAAUUCUUAAUUGAACCAGUAGCUCGAUCUUGGCAACCAAGUUGUCCCACUGCUAUUUAUUGUUUACUAUUUUUUUUUAAUAGAAUCAACAACUUUUGUUAAGAAAGAACGAAAGAAUUCUGGGGGGCUAGUGGCAUUCUUAGGAAGAAAAAAAAUUCCCUCUUGAAUAUUGUACCAACUCAAAGACAUGUUUACCUGUUCCUCAAAGGCAUCUUUCCUUUUGACAUCUUCAUUUGUGUUUUUUAUACCUUUCAAUUCAUCUUAUUCAGUUUCAGUUCACAACAAAUGCAAAUCAUCAUUUAUUGGUUACACUAAUUAUUAUUUUGUUGGGAUCUUUAUGGUGUAAGUCUUGCUUCGUGGCUUCUGUUUUGGCCUUUCUUUUUGUUGGUCAGCUGUUUUGAUUGUUAUUUGUUUCUUUUCCUUUUCUUCCUUUGAGAGGUUAUUUUCUUCAACAUUCUGUAUGUUGUUAAGAAAGAACCACAAUGAUGCAACUGAAAAGAACCCAGUUGUAUUAAACCAGAAACCAAACUUCAUAAUAAAAUGGAGAAAAGAAAACCCCAAUCUUUUUCUUUUCUUUUUUUGAUAUAUGUGAGUGUCCGAGUCAGUCUUCUAAAUAAAAUUGACCCCAAUCUUCACAAUAAAUCUCGAACUUCUAAAUAUUAUGAAUAUACAAUCAUCACUUGGAUUGUACAAAAACAUUUUUUAAAAUAAACAACAAGUAUAGAGUUAAAUAUGACUUAAUCCAAUGCAAUACAUAUUAAAUGGAUGGUGAAUGGCUCAAAUAUUAAGCAGAAGUUAUAACAAAAUAAAAGAGCCUCUACCAAGAAAUCAAAUGAAGAAAAAGAAUACUUGCGCACAUACCUAGACUUCGUUUGAUAACAUUCCCGUUUUUUGUUUCUUGUGUCUUGUAUCUUGUAUUUUGUUUUUCAAAAUCUAAAAACAAUAAUAUGUUUUAUAACUAUUUACGUAUCUUGUUUCUUGAAAAGAAGAAAUAACGAUAAAAACUUGUUUUAUAAUUAUUUCUUUGUUUCUAUUAUCUUUUUUCUUACUUUUCCCCUUGUUUUAUAGUUUAAAUAUAGUUUAGUUAUAUACUAUAAGAAAUAAAUCAACGCAUUAAUAUAAAAUAGGAAACAAAAAAUGCGAUCAAACAUGCCCUUAGAUUCCAGUAAAAUCGUUCCAGUAACAAUUUCCUUAUGUAGGGAAACAUCUUCCCAUGGAAGGAAACAAAAAUUGGAGCAAGUUUCAAAAAGGAAAAACAAAGUGCAUGGAUCUGAUCAUGCCUAAUAUCCCUAAUCUAAAAAAGAUUGUAUGUUACAAUCAUGUCAGUGCCUCUCACGGCCUAUUUAACUGAGAAAUGAGAUUGGUGAAGAUAUCUUCUCUGCACUGAAUGGUAAGACCACCCAUAGGAUGAUAAUAACCAAAUUCCUCUUCAGCUUGACUAAGCAAGAUCUGAAAACAUGGUUGGUUCAAGUAAGUUAUGGGGAUGACAAAACGCUUCUUUUGAAUCUCUCCAACAUAGACUGCACAGUAGCCCUUUGGAACUACUGCCACCCCUUCCUUUGUUGAGGUGGAAGCUCGUCGGAGAAGCUGAAGAAUUCUCAUGUUUAUAUUUGGAUACAAUAAAGGCAAGACCUAAAAAAUUUUACUAGAAGAUCUCAAAACACCUUGAAUGAAAAAAAAAUGAAGAGUUGAGUUGCUUGUGAACUCAAUCAAAUAUGUAUUUAUAGAUGGUGAAAAGAGUUGUGGGAAAUCCAACCUUCUGAGAAAUUGAUGAUAGAAGUCUUUGGAUAAGGCUUAGUAGCAGACAAGAACUCAUGAAGUAUCAUAUGAUUUUGUAUACCAAAUAAUGAACAUUGAAGUAGUGAUGUUGGUAGAGGAUAUUGUGUAAUCUUUUCAAGGCAAAGGAUUUAGAGAUCAUAUUGUCUCUUAAAUGACAAUGACUGAUGAAAAUAUGUUAGUUUAAUAACUUGAUUAUUGUAAACAGCUGGCUUACCGUGGCUUACCAUUGCAUGAUGAUUUUUAUAUACCAUAAGCUUUAGUAGUUUCUCAUAUCAUCCAGACAACAGUUGUGAUAUGCUUUUGUUCGUUGGAUGUAGAAUUUUGGUUUAACUUUGGCUUGGAAUCGCUAAGGUUAUAAUAGUAUUGAGGAGGUGCUCCAAGGUUUGUCAUUUCGAGAGGACAAAUUUUUGUGGCAAGCUAGCUAUUUCGUGGGAAGUUUGGCUCAAGAGAAACAAUAGAAUUUUAAGGGAGGUGGAGAGGUCAUGCAAUAAAGUUUCGGAGGUAGCAAGAUUUAACGCCUCCUUGUGGACACUCGCUAGGCCUUUUUGUAACUAUGAACUUGGUUUGAUUUUGUUAGAUUGGAGUGUAGGCUUGUUUUUUCGUAUGCUCUUUUUCUCUCAAUGAAAACUUGGUUUCUUACCAACAGAUAUUACGACACUCUUUGUUAAUGAAAUCUACUACUGAUUCUUGAAGCAUGAUUCUCUCCAGUGAAAAAGUUUGUGGUUUGUCAUCUUCCAACAUUUGCCCAAGCUGAAAAUAGACUAACGCUCCAAAACACAAAACAAUUGAAAAGAUAAAUAGAAGAGAAAUACAACUGAUGAAGAGUACAAGUCAAAUAAGACAAAAACCCUACUACUAAGAAGCACCAAAAACUUUGAAAGAGAGCCCCAUUUUUUAAGAGAAGAACUAAACUAAAACUAAACAAACCAACAAAUUGAGACAUCAAAUCAAAAAAUUGACAAGAUCUGCCCAGUUGAUGUUGGACCUAUUUGAAAUGACUUUCCAAGUGCUUAAACCACUUUUGUAACACUUAGACUCCAUUUUUUAUGCACAUAGAAAGUCAUUUCAAACAUCUCAUUUUACUAACCUGCUUUCUCCUUCCAUAUAUAUUUUCCUUCAAAGCCCUGACCUGUUCAGUUCCCUUUAUUGCUAAUUGCUCUAUCAGUAAGUCUCAUAACGUUCAUAUAUUUUCGCAGUGUUAGUCUGAGUGAUUUGAAUACUCAUUUUUACUAGUUAGUUAAAGUUUUGUAUUGAUUUUAAUCAGUCAGCUCUCUUGCUUUUGUAAGAAGAAAAAAAAAGAACUUUCUGUUGAAGUUGGCAGUAUUAAAACACCGAUCAUUUUUUUUCAGUAAUUUUUCAAUGGAGGCAAAGUACAAUGAAUCUCAUAUAUGAAAACAGCUCUCAAUCUCCUUGUGAAUACAAAUCAUUUGAAGGAACAUCAUAGGGCAGAUGUAGUGUAAUCAUGUUGUCAAGGAGAAUGGACUACGAAAAGUGGCAAAAUAAGGUACAUAGGUAUCAACUUUAUAAUCAAUAUUUACUUUUAUGUACUAUAUGUAUCCACUUUGGUUAACUCAAGAGGUGGUGAUAGAUUUGUUCAAGUACUAUGGUAUUUUACACCAAUCCUACUACUGGUCAUAAUCCCAUUUACAAAUUUAUCUGCUCCUUUGGAGCGUUAACAAAUAACUCUUACCUCAUUCUUCUUCUACCUGUGAUGAUAUACUAGACGGGCUCUUGGAACUUUCUGAAAUCAUCAUCAAUUGUGGGUCGCUCAUUACGUCCUGCAAUAAACAUUUUCAAUGAUGAUUAACUAUUGGCAACUUUUGAUCUCUGCAACUUUUACGCACAAACAAAUUUGUCCCCAUACUUCCUUUCAUUUUGCUUCAUCCAAGAAUAAUUCUUAUUCAGUCAAAGUUGAUUUCUGUCAGUGUUGUGACUCCUUUUCCAACUAGAGAUAUUCAGUAGCAAGAUUUCAGACAUUAGACAGAGGAUUCUUCUACUUUUUUCUUCCUUUUAUACGACCCUCAAAACACUAAAUAUUAAAUAUUAAAUGUUUUUUUCUUAGAACUUGAUUGUAAUGAGAAAUCCAUUCCAUAAGAGGGUCGACAAAAGAGUGAACAAUAAUUUAUAAAAAGGAUUUAAUGGUAAUAAAUGAGGAGAUUAAGGCCAUUUGACGACGGUUUAGUUUCUUGUUUCUUGUUUUUACUUUCAUUAUUUUUAUUUCAUGAACAGCUCUUCCAUCAUUCUUAACAAAGAAAAAAAAUCAUUUAAUUGGAUAACUGUUUUUUUGUUUCUUGUUCUUUCUUUUUUAUUGAAAAAAAAAACUAUGUUUAAUAACCAUUUUUUAUUUCUUAUUUAUCUAAAAUUUUAAAUUAGAAAUGUAAAUUUUUUACAUAAAAUAAGUUUUUAAAAUUAAAUAAAAAAUAAUAAUGUUAUAUUUAUAAUGCACUUUAAAAGUAAACGUGAUAAACGAAUACGUUUACUUUUGUUUGGAAAAAUUUGGAAACACAACCAAUAAACUAGAACUUGAUUUUGGUCUUUCCAAAAAUUAUACACUAUGUUGGAAAAUGUAUCUAAAAAUAAAAACAAAAAUAGUUACCAAACACUUUUCUAAAAAACGAGAAACAAUAAACCAUAAACGGAAACAUUAUCAAAUACGGAAACAUCAUCAAACAUCUAGUGACUAAAUUGAAGCAACAAUUAAGAGGUCGUUUGGUAACAUUUCUAUUUAUUAUUUUAAGUUUUUGAGAAUCAUAAGCGUCUAAUACCAAUUUCUAGAUUCCACUUUCUUGUUGCUUAUUUAAAUGUUUCCAAAAUAUUUUAAGUUUUUGAGAAACAUAAGCGUCUAAUACCAGUUUCUAGAUUAAUGUUUCUGGUUACUUAUUUAAGAAUGUUUCCAAAAUUGUGUAGAGAUUUUAGAAACAACAAAAUCAAGCCUCUUGUUUCUGGUCCUCAUUUCAAGUUCAAAUAAAAACGUUGUUAUCAUUCUUAGCUUAUAAGAUGCAUGAGAAGUAUCUUCUAGAUAAAUAUAACAUUAAAAAAAAUUGAUUUUAAUUUUUCAGGUUAAUAUUUUAGAGAACCUGGAACAAAAAUGAUUAUAAAAUGUUUAUUUUUAUGUUUUCAAUAACAAAUUAAUAAAUAAACAAGAAACAAAAAAACAAUUACUAAAUGUAAUUCUAUAUUUCUUUAUUGAAAAAAAUAAAACAUAAGAAUGAAACAUGAACAUUACUAAACAAAGUUUAAAUUUCAAAAACCAAAUCAAAACCUAACCCAAUAACUAUUAAAUUUUUAAGGCAUCACUAUUGGAAAUUAUAAUUGACCUCCACCCAUUAGCUUAAGCUUUUGGAUUUAGUUGGUGAAUUAAGAUGAUUUCAAUGUAGGUUGCUACGAGAUGUCCUAAGUUCAAACUCCUUCAUUGUUGUUUCCUCUCCAAUUAAUGUUAACACAAGCGAGGGGAGUGUUAGAUAUUAUAUUAAAUUUGCCUCCACCCACCAGCUUAAGUUUUUGGGUUUAAUUGGUGAAUUAAGAUGAUCUAAGAGUAGAUUGCUACAGGAUGUCUUGUGUUCAAGCUCUUGCAUUAUUGUUUCCUCUCCAAUUAAUGUUAUUUUCCACUUGUUGGAUCUUUUUUCAUAUUUCAAGCACACAAGUGGGUGAAAGUGUUAGAUAUUAUAUUAAAUUUGCCCCCCACCCACCAGCUUAAGCUUUUGGGUUGUGUUGGUGAUUUAAGAAUUACACAGUGUGUUGCAUACUAACCUGCUCCGUUGAGGGAUGGCUAAAACUGCUUAUCGAUCCACUACUAUCCCUUGACUCCAUGUGCUCCAUCAUCUCUUCACCAAAUUCUCUCAAUUUUUCAAGUUCGGGCAACACAACACUGGCAAGAUCUGGUCGGUCCUUUCGCCGAAGUUCUGCACAUUCAAGUGCUAAUUUUGCAAAGCAAAGUGUUUGUUCCACUGGCCAAUCAACCACAGCUGGGUCCAGAAACUCCUGAAAAGUCCCCUUCUCGAUAGAACGAGCAACAUGGUGAGCCAACCCCAUGGCCGGCUUAGCUGUAAUUAGUUGAAGCAACAUGAUUCCUAGUGAAUACACAUCAGAUUUAACCCCAAGCAUUCCAGUUUGUUGAUACUCAGGGUCUAUAUAGCAGAAAGUUCCAGCGGCCGAAGUCACGUAGCAUUGUGUUACAUUUUCAGCCACAGCAGGUAAAAGUCUAGCCAAACCAACGUCACUAAUCUUGGAAACAUAGUUGUGGUCAAGCAAUAUGUUAGCUGGCUUGAGAUCACGGUGCACCAAUGGCUCAGGCUUUGUCUGGUGGAGAAACAGAAGGCCAGUAGCAAUCUCGGCAGCAAUUCGAAACCUCAAUUGCCAAGGAAUAACAGGGGUGUUACCCUUUCGAAAGAGUCGAUCCUCCAAACUUCCAUUGGACAUGUACUCAUAAACUAGAAUGCCAUAUUCAGGGCAUGCUCCUAGAAGAAGUACCAUGUUGGGAUGCCUUAUGCAACUCAGUAUAUCAAUCUGCAUUUACGAUAUCUAACUAAAUCAUAAGCACUAAAAAAAUGAUCCCAAAGUUCUUUCAAGUUUCUCACCUCUUGCUGAAACUGUGUCCUUCCUUGAGUUGCGUCAGGACGCAAAACCUUGACUGCAACUGAUGUGUGAUCAAGACGACAACGAAAGACAGGUCCAUAACCUCCUUCCCCAAUCUUUCGAGAUUGUGCAAAAUGUUCCGUCGCCGAUUCAACCUCCUCAAUUGAAUAUCUCCUGUAUCUGAUGUCGCUUUGUGCAAGAUUUUUCAAUGCUUUCUGCAUUUCCUCUGCCUCUUUAACUGCUUUCAUCUCCAGAUUUGCCCUUUUAUGUGAUUCUAACUCUGCAAUUCUCUUGGCUGCAUCAGCUGCUUCCAUCGCUGCUCUGCAUCUAGCUCUCUCCUGCUCUGCAAUAGCCAUUGCUGCUUCUUGUGCAAGCCGUGCCUCUUCUAGUUUUUGUUCUUCUUCACGUCUCCAAUUAUUUAGUUCCAUUGCCUAUGGGAGAAUUUUUAACAUAACCCCAAGGUUGAAUCUCAAAAAUGGGGAAAUGACUUAUAUAUAUUAUACCUUCUGCUUUGCUGUCAGUGCUUCUUUACAUGCUGUACUGUACAUCUCCAUAGUUUGUUUAAGCUCUAGCUUCAGCCUCCUCAUUUCAAGUUCUACUUCAUCCUGUGAGAUACAUAAAUUUCGACCAAUUUAGUUCAUAUCCUCAAAUCAACAUUAGAUAUGAGCAGAAAAAUUCAGUUACAAGUGCUCUCUCUCUCUCUCAUUAAAGAACGUUUAUAAGAUACAUUUCCCUAGCUUCAAAAUUUUAAUAUUUGUCAUCACUAUGAGCAAGGAGAGCUUUUAUUUAAAAUGUUAGAUAAGAUAUCCAAUUUCAAUUAAUAAUUGAAAAUACCAGAAACUAGCACUAUAUAAUAUGAUCAAUACAGGUAAAGCGUUGUACUUGAAGUCCAAUAUAUUCAUAUUGGUAUUUUGAUCAAUGUAUAUAUUUGUGAGAUCCGUGAAAAUUAUUGCUUGAUGUUAGUGUCUUUGUUCUUUGAUAAGUUUUUCAGUAUUUCCUUUGUGAUGGUGGUGGAAUCGUUAUAAUUCUCUUUUAUUUGUACCUUUUUACUCCUUUAGGAGUUUAUAUCCUUUGAGCAUUAGUUUCUCUUUUCAUUUUCUCAAUGAAAAGUUUUCUCUUGUUCAAUAAAAAAAGCCCAGAACCAUUCAUAAUAUACUGACCAAGUUCUGAGAUGACCAAGAACAUGAUGUCCUGCAGCUCUCAUCUGAAACUGAUGAGAAAUCAUUGAGAUUGCUGAGAUCUGCCCACUUUGGUUUAAAUGGUAGAGAUGUAAAGCUAUGCUCUGAGCUGGUUGAAAAUCGUGGGGGACCUGAAUCAGAGUAGUCAAAUGCAACAGAAGAAGAACGAUCUGUGCUUGGUCUGCCAGAGCUUAUAAAGGAUAUGUCGGAUUCUGACUCAGAGAACCCCCCACUAAAUUUCGAGAUACAAGUUCUCUCUCCUCCGUGAGAGUAAGGUGACCUGAUUCCAAUCACGAUGUGAGCAUCAACUUGGAAGGAAAGUCUAUGCAUAUCUUCACUACCAAAAUUUAACCACAAUCUGUAAUUUAGCACAACUUACUUGAUUGUUUCAUCUUGGAAGCUGCGAGGCUUGAAUGAUGUCCUAUCUGCAAACGAGAAAAAUAAUAUAAGUUCCAUUGCCCCAAACUCCAUAAAAUCAAGACAUGAAUGCGUAAUCAAUUUUGAUAGCAUAAAAAUGUAAGUGAUUCAUCUGCAAUUAGUCCUUAAAUAAAUUGUUUUCUUUUCAACUUCACCCUUAAAAAAAUGGUGCUUUGAUGAAACAUAAAAACACCAAAGGCUGUCUUGAUGGGGAAAAGAAACACAAAUUAUCAUAUAGAAGAAUUCAGAGGACAAAUUUGACAAAUUUGUAGACUUACCACAAUAAAAACUACUUCAUAUACUAUACACAAAAUACUUGGAAUGCAGUCCAGCAUGAAAAACAAACCUCUCAAAUUGAACUUAUGUCGAGGAGUGAUUGAUCCCUUUACGAUCGGCUUAGAUAACUUCUGUAAACGGUCUAGUAGAGGGGAAGUGAAGGGAGCUGAGCGAGAUGCAUUCUUCACUGAUGACACCUUCCCCUUCGAGAUGACAUAUACAGUGCAGAAAUCCGGUGCUCCUUUUGACACGCUACUACCCAUGCUCGAUGACUUAAACCUGUUUCAAACAUCACAAAUUCCCAAUCAUAAGCAUUUGGAAAAAUUGGAGAUGGGAAUUCACAUUCUUCCAUAAUGAUUUGUGGAAUGUAAAAUUCUAAACGCUAUUUUGGAAUGAAUUUUCAAACGCUAAAUAACUGCUUUUCACUUGAAUAGUCAUUUCAAACAGACCCUGAACCAAACAUGAAACGAAAAAAAAUGAUUACCUAAUAAAUCCAUGUCUCGAAGGAGCCCCGAGCACCAAGGUCUCGAUUGCAGCGUACGAUACGUAUUCAGUUAAUGCUUUCACUAUAUCGGUGUCUUCCAAUAUAAUAUCAAGACAUUGAAUCUUCACAAUCAACAAAAGAAAGGAAAACCCAGGUCGUUUCACAUCUCAAAAUCACAAUUCAGAAACAUAACAUAAGAAAAGAAAAGAGAAAAUGCAAUGAUGAACACAAAAGACUUACAUCCUUCCGAGUACAAUAGCAAUGGAAGGUGAGAAAAAUGUCUCUAGUCUGCAUCUCGAGCUGCUGUAUAUGAGGGGAAUCAGAUGUGGAACUGCCAUCAGUAUUACAAAUAAUGGCUUCCCCAAUCAAAGAAGCAGCCGCACUAGAAGGUCUAUGAACCACAUGGAUUAAAAUCACAGUUUGACCCUUUCCAAUCAAAUGCUCAGCGGCCCAUCUAAGAGCAUUUUGGCUUCCUUUUUCCCUGUCUAUACCAAUAGCAACUAACCCAUUUCCUCCUCCGCCUGCUCCAACCUUUUUGACGCUAUUAACACUGUUUCCUUUUUGUAGCCACAUUGUUUGAUAAAAUCCCAGUGACAAAUUUGCUCGUUAUAUGUACAAUGAGGGAUAUUUGCAUGCAUAUUUACAUAUAUACAAAGAAUUUGUGAAGAAAAAAAGAGAAAGAAGUUUGAUACCAUGACUAACUUGGGAUUUGCCUCAAUUUGGAGAGAGGGCUGAAAUUUUCGCGGGAGGGCGCAAAUUUAGGAAUUCUAUGAAUACAAAAGAAUUUGUGGGAGAUUUGAAGAGUUUGUAGUCCCCAUAUCUGUUUGUAGUAAUUUAUUUUCCUACCCCAAAAUGGAAAAGAGAAUCAACUUUUACUAGUUUUGGCGUCCAUUGUUGUGUUUGUAUGCCCAUGGAAAUAGGAUGUUCAGAAAACCCAUAACCCGCUCUACCCGAUCCAACUCGAUUCGAUUUAAUUUUAAUUUUAAUUUUAAUGGGAUUGGGUUCAAAACUUUUUUUAAAUUCAAUUUUUUAUCGGUUAUUAGGGUUCAUAAUUUUUUUUGGAAAUCAAUCACAUGAUGUCUGAAUAACAAAUGAUCUGGGUUGGGUACGACAUCCAAAAUUAUGUAUUAUUGUUAUAAUAUAUCAUUGGUCUAUUUCUCCAUUAUUUUACAUGAUUUUUCUUUAAUUACUGCCAAAUUUAGUCUCUAAUUUAGUAUAUCAUUUUACACAAUUGGCCUAUUUCAAUAAGAAAUUAAGAAAAAAAAAAUCAUAAAUGGACUAUAUACUCAUUUAUAUUACUAAAUUGAAUUUUAAAUAUAUAUAUAUAUGAAAAAAAAUAUGAACCGACAAAGAGGGAAAGAUUCGAUAUAAGUUGGUUACGGUUUUGGAAAGAAAUCAAUAACGCUUCAAAGUUUCCUUCUUCAAUAACAGUAGUCCAUUCUCUUCGCGAAAGCUCGACGGUUGGUUGUGACCGCCAUUUUCUGACAAAUUUUGAGGUUAGUAAUACGGUAUAUUUUGAAUCAUUCAACCGUUAGGGUAUAUUGAGUUAUUUGUGUGUAAUUUUUGUUAUGUGUUGAUUGGUUAGGUUUAUUGGAAACUUUAUGUGUAAUUUCUAUUAUACUUAAUUACAAUUUUUUGUUGCUAGAAUUUUGAAAACAUAGGUAGUUUAUAAGUUUACAUUUUUUAUAUGCUAACGUAUAUGAUAUUAUUGUGUUCAUUGUUCUUAAUGGUUUGUCUCAAAAGGUUAUCAUGUUUUAAUUACAGUAUAUUUGGAAUAAUAAGGUGUACAUUUUAGACAUAAAUGUUUAUGAUGGGUAAUUUUUUGUUUCCUGAGUAUAUGUAAUAUUACGGUAUGUAUUUUUGAACUAAAGAUUUAUGAUAAAUUGUUUAUAGAAACAUGGAUGAUGAGCAUAUGUAAUAUAUGUUGUUAUUAAAAUUGCGUAAAUUUGAUUAUGUUAUAGGAAUGUUAUUUAUGUUAACAGGACAAAGGAAGAUAUAUUCUCUGGUUUUUGUAAUGCACUAAUUGUAUGAGAAAUUGGUUGAAUGGAGAGAACAUAUUCAAUUAUUGUAUUGUUUGCAGUAAUUAUGACCAUACUUGAAAAACAAUUAACUUAUAUAUGUCACUAAGUAUGUUUUAAUGUAUAUAGUGAUGAAAUGAUUUAUGUAUGAUCAAAUAUAUGAGGCAGUAUAUGUGUAACAAAUCACAUAAGAUAUAUAUAUAUAUAUUAUGGAGUAGUAUAUGUAAUGAUUAAAAAAAACUCCAAGUGUUACAUAGUAUGUGUAUGUAGUGAUAUAUAAAUUAAUUAUUAAAAAUGAUAGAAUUAAAAAAAAAUGUGAACAUAUUAUCCAACAUAUGUGAAAUACACGUGUAACAUAACACAAAAAAUUGCUUCAAAAGAUAUAGUACCAUAUGUAUAAAAAAAAUACAAAACGCAUAUCUUAUAAUAUGUGUAUACUGUACAUAACAAGAAGAUGAAUCGAAGAAGAAAUAAUAAAUUUAUCGAGAAAAAAAAACUAUAUGCUCAUAAAAUGGAAAUUAAAUAUUAUAAGAAAUGAAGAAGCUUCCAAAAUCAAAAAGAAGAAAGAACAAGUUUAUUUUUUUAUUGGAAUCGAGAAAAAAAAAAGUAUUCAUGUUUAUGAUUUAAAUUGAAAAUAAUUAUAGAAAGAUAUAUAAUUUAUUAACAUAUUUAAAUCAUAAACAAUUAAUAAAUAUUAUAGUAAUAAAUAUAAAUACAUAUGAUAUAAUAAUUUUAAAAGUUAUUAUUGAUAUAAUAAAUUAGGAAUUUUAAAAUAUUAAAAAAAUUAUUUAAGAUUUACAUAUAUAAUUUUUUAAAAAUAAUUAAAUAAAUGUUAAAAUUAUCCUAAAAUAUUAGGGUUUCUUGUAAAGAUAAUAAUUAAAAAAUUAGAACAUUUUGUAAAAUAUCAUAAAUAAUUUAGAUACUUCCUCUAAUCUUCCAAUCAUUGAAAGGAUUUGUAUAGAAAAAAAAUAGCUAAAGAAAUCAUACAUUGUUUAUGUCUCGCAAAUAUAAAUUUCUCAACUUCACUAUAUACUAAUCACUUCGAAAAUUUGACUAUUUUGAUAUUACUUUCUUUUAAGAAAAAUGUUCUUCUUCUUUGUUUUUCCUCUUUGUUGUUUGAACUUUUUUCUUGUUUCGCUUCCACAUUGCUUUGAAGUAAAGGUUAAAUCGGUUAUUCAAUAUGACUCAAUCGGUAAAUAUAAGAGUUGAGUUGGAUUGCCUUCAUAUAAUCAUUAGACCAAAAUUCAUAAAGUCGUGAAGGACAAACAAAGAUGAAUGCUAGAAUCUCCAAACUUCUAAAUCCAAACAAUGACAAUCUUCACGUAAAGAAGGUGAUGGGACUUCAACGUCAUGUGCGUGAUUGAAAAACUAGUGUUUUUUUUUCUCCCUUCUUUCUUUUUUCAUAAAUUAACAAAUGGUUUUAAUAAAUGUACGUAUUUUCUAAAAUCUAUGAUAUACAAACCUACCGUCUACAAAAAAAAAACAAAAAAAAAAAAUAUAUAUAUAUAUAUAUAUAUAUAUAUAUAAAAAUAAAUAGUAUACAAAACAUGAGAGGAAAAGUUAACUACAAACAUAAUGUAAAAGAAAAAAAAAAAUAGUAUACACUAGUGAGUUUCAUCACCUCCAUUUGAAAAUUUUAUAAUAUAUAUAAAUACCUUAUUUGAAAACAUAUUUCAAAAUCUUAGCUACUUUAUUAAAAAAAAAAAUCUUAUUUAAAAUAAAUCGAUAAUACUAAAAUUUCACCAAAUUAUCUUUAUUGUACUCUGAAUUACAUAAUAUUUAAUACACAAUACACAGUACAUAAUAUUUAAUACACAAUACAUAAUUUAGUAUAAGAGAUUUCAUUAAUCUUACAAAUAAGAUUUUAAUGUAUAUUUUUUUGAAAUCUUAGAAAAAAUGGAUAUUAUGGAUUAAUUAAAUAUACAUGAAGUUUCAAUUAUAAUAUAAUAUAAUUUUAUUAAAUAAAUAUAUAAACGUUUUAUUAGAUAUAAAAUAAGAAAUAUCACGAAUAGAUAUUCCAUUAAUUUAGGAAUGAAUUCGUUAGAUAAAUAAAUCUCAGAUUCAAUUAAGAUCUAACAAAAUAUGCUAGUGUGAAAAACAUAGUGAAAAUUGAAUCGCUUUACAAAUGUAUGGUAUAAUUAGAAUAUGAAAAUCAUAGCAUACCACACGAGUAGGGCAAAGUAGGAAUAAAAUGGGUAGAGAAUUUGCUAAAAAAACAUUAAUUUUGUUUUUAUGCUAUAAUUCCAACCACCCACCCAAAUUUUGUCAUUGGAUCCAAUUCUCCAAAUUUUUAUUUCGUGAAAAACGUCUAAUUUAUCCUCAAAAUUUCAAUUUUGUUUCUAAUCGAGUCCUAAAAUUUCAAUUUACUAAGUUAUAAAUAUUGCAUUUAUUUUAAAAUAAAUACAAUAUGACCUACCAGACUUAAAGUUAAAUUUAUAUAAGAAAUAACAAAUACUUUUAACAUUUUGUAGUGUAUGAUAUUUAAAAAACGUACGACCAUAGAUAACUUAUUAGACAAAAAGUUAAAUAUGUAUACAUGAUAUAAUGAUUAUUAUUUUUAAAAUUUUCGAAUAUAUUGAUCUAUCAAACCUACGAUGAAAAAAAAUUAGAAACUACUCCACACAUUUUAGAGUCAUAUAUAGAAACAACUCAAAAUUGCAUGGGCUAAACUUUUAAUUUCGUAUAUGCAAGUGUCCCCCGCCAUGAAGUCCCUGCUUCGCCACUACAUUACAAAAUUACUUAGACAAGUGCACAAAUUAACUAUCAAUUAGCAUCGUCAAAACUCACGCGUUCCAACAAAAUAAAAUGACUCUAAUAUCACUUUCUCUAACCUUAUCCCAUUUGUAUCAAAUAACUAGGCUUGACAAAAAUUUCCACGAGGUUGGAUCUAUGCAAGUAUCGCUCCAAUCGGGACAAGGAAUCCCCAAUUUGAUCUUUGAUGGAGUCAAAACGAGGAUUUUUUAGGGUCUCCAAUCGUGAACGGGAAUGGUAUCCCCACCCCACCCCAAUUCGACCUUGACCUUGAUUAGAACAGAAACUUAUCAUAGGGUUUAAAGUACAAAAACCUUUUAAAGUUUUAAGUUAUGAUUACAACACGAAUUAUGUCUAAGUUUUAAGUUUAAUUUGACAAAAUUGAAAGUUUACGUUAAAACCAAUAAAAUGACAAGUUUAGAAGUAAGAGUUGAUGUUUUGUGGGGGAAAAAAGAGGAGAAAACUACUUUAAACAACAAUAGGACCCUUAACUCAGAUAGUUAUGUACAUGUUCUUGUUGAUUGAGCAAGAAAUUAAAAUACCUGUCUUCAUUUUUUUCAACAUGGUAGUAUUUUGGUUCCUCCAUUUAAUCAAUCUUUCUUAUUAUUUGUGUAAUCUCAGCAAAAGUAUGGAAACAAAAUGUGUGAUGCCCAAUGCUUGUCCUUGGCUGAAGUCCACACUUCCUGAUCUCCAUUUUCAAAGUAUUUUCUUUAAGAGCUAAAUGGGGCCUUUGUAGAAAGACAAUGCAUUUACAAACAUCAAUUUAUUGAUAAUGGUAGUUGGAACUUGGAAGACAAAGCAUGUUAUACCUCUUUAAGUUCAUGUCCCCUAGUAGGCCCUAUCCAAUAGCUAUGAAAAUAUACCUUCAUGUGAUCAUUUAUUUAUAAAUACAUAUGUGAGAUGGCUUAGACGAAGCAAUCACAAUUCUUCACAUUCCCAUUUGAAAGAAACUUUCUUCUCCUGAAAACUUGUGUUCUUACAAUCUUCUCAUUACUCUAGAAGUACAUCAAUUCUAUUGUACAACAUGGGGAUUCGUCAACUUCUUAAAAGAAACCAAGGAGUUUCAACAAUUCCCAAAGGUUAUUGUGCAGUCUAUGUUGGAGAGAACCAAAAGAAACGGUUUGUGAUCCCAAUUACACACUUGAAUCAGUCAUGCUUUCAAGAGUUGCUUUCUCAAACUGAAGAAAAAUUCGGUUACCAUCAUCCCAUGGGUGGUCUUACUAUUCAUUGUAGAGACGACAUCUUCACCGACCUCAUCUCUCGUUUGUAGUAUAUCAUUAAUCUUGUAGAAUAGGGGCAUUGAAAAUAACCAAAUCAUUGUACAUUUAUUUUUUCAAUUUUCAUCCUUUCUUUUUUGUUUCCUUUGGUGGGGAGUAAAAAGUUUCCCUGCACAAGGGAAUUACUUGUGAUGAAAAUUAAAAUGACUAUAACUUUAUUGGAAAUGGAAGAGUAUCAUUCAUUCCUUAAAAAGAUAUAUCGUCUCUUUAUUUUAUGGUUAUGCUUCUCUUCUCUACAUGUAUGCAAGUCAGUAAUAUGGAUGAAUCUUCAUUUUUUGAAACUUAGCUGUUACUAUAAAGAUAUUAAACCAUUUUCAUUGACUUUCUUUUGGUUGGGUUGGAUCAAUGACAAAAAAAAAAAAAAAAAAAGAAAUGCUGGUGAGAUUUCAUAUCUCAAGUUAGGGUCAGAACUUUUUCGUAAUUUUUGUCUUUACAUGAAAAUGCAGUUGGCUAAACCAUAACCAUACACUUUUUUCAAGCCUAAGACUGAAAGAAAUUUUGCAAAAUAACUCAUAACAACGUUUUAUUUUAAGGCAUGUUUUUUAAUUGAUUAAAAUAAAUUUUUUAUGUUAAAAAACAGUUAGAGACAUAUAUUAUAAACCCAUCAAAAUUAUCAAAAUCACUUUAAAACGUGUAAAACUAAAUAUUAAGUUAGUCGUGAAAUAAUCAAAGUCUUGUUCGUGAUUUUGAAUACGUCAACAAUGGUUUUAACUAUUUCAAACAUACUCUUCCCUGACUUCAAACAUCGAUGUAUUUUACCACAAAUUCAAAGGUCUCUUUUGUUUAGCCAUUUUAGUUGACCGCGAACAGUUUAACUUUGUUCAAGAUAAUAACAUCAGUUUAGUUGCUGUCAUUUUUUAGCAAGUUAUUGAGCAACAUUGAAAAUAUUUGAAUCAUGUUGGUGUGUUAUAGUCAAUUCUAUUCGAGAAAAUGGGGUCCGUUGGCCUCAACUUCUUUGUUGGUGUAGCAGUACUACACUACUAAGCUUAGGCAUAUUUCCAAACAGUGGAAGCUAAUAGUAUUUCUUCCAUUUAAUGAAAAUUUAUCUAUAAACUGUGUUAUACAAGCAAGGUUGAAGAAAAAUGUGGGAUGUCCAAGGCUUGUCCUUGGCUAUAAUUGGCCCACAUUUCUUCUCACCAGUCUUCUGGGUCUUUUUCUUCAGAGCUAAAUGGGGCCUUGCAUUGGUUUCUUCCAUUAAAAAUGCAAGACAAUGUAUUUACUAACUUCACUAGUAAUUAGAAGACAAACCAUGUGAUGAUUCCUAGCUCAUGUCUCCUGCUAGGGGCGUUCAAUAGUUUUGUAAAUGCAUCCUUAUCAUCUAUAUAUACACAUUUGAUAUGGUUUAAACGCAAUCACAGUUCUUCACUUUCUCAUUCAAAAGAAACUUUCGUCCCAUAAAAACGCGUUCGUCAACUUUUGAGUAGUUCUAAGUGUGUUUACUAUAGUGUACAAUAUGAGGUUUCGCCAACUUCUUACAAGAAGCCAAGGAGUUUCAGCAAUUCCCAAGGGUUACUGUGCAGUGUAUGUUGGCGAGAGCCAAAAGAAGCGGUUCGUGAUCCCAAUAACGUGCUUGAAUCAACCAUGUUUUCAAGACUUGCUUCGUAAGACAGACGAAGAAUUUGGUUACCAUCAUCCCAUGGGCGGUCUUACUAUUCAUUGCAGACAUGACUUCUUUACUAAUCUCAUCUCCCAUCUAAAUGUUCUAUGAGAAAUUUAUUGACACUCUAUAGUUUAUUAUCAAUCCAUAGACACUAGAAAUAACCAACAAUAUGUACAUUUUUUUUUCAUUUUCCUCUUUUUUUGUUUCCUUUUUCAGUAGGGAGUUAAAAUGUCUCCCUCACCAAGGAAAUUGCUAAUGAUGAAAGUGAAGAGGUUCAUUCAUUGAAAAAAAAAAAACUUUCUAUUUCGGUUAUCCCUCUCUUUAUAUGUGCAAACUAGUAAUACAGAUGGAUACGAAUCUUACCAUUUUAUAUUGACUCCUCUUGGUUUGGUUGCAAUCAAACAAGCACUAUGAAGAGGUUUCAUAUUUCAAAUUUGGAUCAAAAUUCAAUGUCCAUUUCGUCUUUGCAUAAAGAUAUAAUAUCUUUUGUUCAUUAUCAACCAUGGUUGAGUCUCGAAAAGUGUACGCAGUAUAUCCAUAUAACCAUAUGCUUUUUCUCAAUUCUAAGAUUGGCUAGAAUGACAAUUUUACAGAGUAUACCAUUUACAAAACAUUAAGUUGUCAAAUGUGUAGUCUUCCAUCAAUUUGAAGACUCUCCUUCGCUUAGCUAUCUUAGUCGGUAAACGGUUUAAUUCUAUUAGUCCUUUUCACUUUUACUAAAGCUAUUGAGCAGCAUUAGACAUCUUUGAAUCAUGUUGACCUGUCAAAGCAAAAACUGCUGUAGAAAAUGGUUCCUUAAUUUACUCAAAUUUUGUUAUGUUUUUGUUGGUUGAUGCAGUAAUUCCUCCACUUGAUGAAAUAAUGACCAUAGACUGUGUAAUCUAAAUGAAGUGCAAGCAAAAUAUAUAUGAUGUCCAAGAGUCUCUUGACAUAACUGGCCCACAAUUUCUAAUCUCCAUUACCUAGUCUUUUUCUUAUGAGCUAAGUGGGGUUUUUUUCAUUGAAAUAUACAAGGCAAUGUAUUUAUUAAAUUCACUAGCUGGAUUGUACUAAUUGGAAGACAAAGCAUGUAAGGCCUCAUAAGUUCAUGUCUCCUACUAGGCCCCAUCCAUUAGUUUUGAGAAGACCUCUUUAUCAUCUAUAUAAGUCCACAUUUGAUAUAGUUUAGAAGCAACCACAAGUCUUCACAUUCUAGUUUGAAAGAAAAAAAAUUCUUCUCUCGAAAACGUGUUCUACGAUUUCUCUUUGCUUUAAAUAUAGUAAUUAUACCGUUCAACAUGAGGCUCAUCCAUCUUCUUAAAAGAAGCCAAGGAGUUUCAUCAAUUCCCAAGGGCUAUUGUGCAGUAUAUGUUGGAGAGAGCCAAAAGAAGCGUUUCAUAAUUCCAAUUAGUUACUUGAAUCAACCAUGUUUUCAAGAGUUGCUUAGCCAAACUGAAGAAGAAUUCGGGUACCAUCAUCCAAUGGGAGGUCUUACUAUUCAUUGCAAAGAUGCCAUCUUCACUAAUCUCAUCUCUCGUUUGAAUGAUCUAUGAGAGACGAAUAACAUUUUCAAAAUACAAAAACUCUGAUAGCUAGAAAUAACCAACACUUCAUGUACAUUUUUUUUCUUUCAUUUUCGUCAUUUUUUUGUUUCCUUUAGUGGGGAGUAAAAUAAUGUUUCCCUGGUUAAGGAAAUUACCCAAGGAUGAAAUGAAAUGAAAUAACUUCAGUUCUACAGAAAAUUUAAGAGGUUCAUUCCUUAAAGAAGUAUUUUCUCUAUACCUUAGGUCAUGCUUCUAUUUUUAUUUAUGCAAUCAUGUGGAUGAAUCUCAAUUAGAAAAUAUGCCAAAUUCAUUUAUGUGUUGGUUCCUUUUAGUUUCAAAUUUAAAAUUUGAGUAAAAAAACUUAGUGGCAAGAUAUGAUUGACCCUCCAUAAAGACAUAGCCAUAACCACAUAAACCCUAUGCUUCUUAGUUCUUUGAAUUCUAAGAUUUUCCAUCCUUCCGCCUUGUAACUGUUUUUGUUACCUUCCAGCCAUAAAUGGAAAACUCAAUAUUGAGUUCUCAAACAAAACAAUGUACUCCCAAGUUCUCAUGAAACAAAAUAUUUCCCUACAACAACUUCUCUUUUCGAGUCCUCGUAUAGUUCUUCCUCCUUGAAAUUGAAAUUUACAUUACUGUGAUUUUCAUUGGUAUAAAGUAAAGUCUCAAUUGAUCUUCAUUCACCAGAAACCCAAACAGCUCUGAAGUUUGAAGUUCUUCCAAAAUCUAGUUUAAAGUUCAUGUUAAAAGGGAUAGAAGAAGUUAUCAGUUGUUCCUACAUCUUUUACAAGAAAACUUGUUUCCCUUUCAAGAUUUCUCUACAUAUUAGUCUGUUAAGAAAUCAAUAUAUAAAGAAAACAGAAAAACCUAAAGUAAUUGAAAACCGACAAGAUAUUUGCGUGAUAUAAUAGCGUGUGUUAGCUAAGCUCACAAGGGGAGGAAGAACAAUUUAUUAUUAGAGAGAAUAAUUCAGCGACACCUCUAAAGUUUAGAGAGUUUAAUGCAUUGGUCUAAACAAUAGGGUCGAAAUCCUAAAUAAUAUAAAUAUGUCAAAUAUGAAUUCAACUUAGGUUUUUGGGUUGUUGUCCCCGAACCCCAUCAUUGAAAAGAUUAAGAGAUUUUACUAUCUUUAUAAAAUAUAUGAGGUACUUCUCUCAUUGUCAAUUGAUUGUUAGAUGAAAUUUCUCAUAAACAUAUUAGUCGCUAUAAAUAGUUAAUGAACAACAUUGGAAAUGUUUGAAUCACAUUGACUUGUCAAAGAAAAAUCUACUCUAGAAAAUGGGUCCCUUUUAACUUGAUAUUCAUUUAUGUUUAUGUUGAUUGAGCAACAAGCUUCAUCUCUUCUUUCUAUUCUGCAAGAUGUAGUAUUUCCUCUAUUUAUUGAGAUUAUAUCCAUAAACUGUGUAGUUUUAAUAAAAUGGCAGCAGAAUGUGGAGUGUCCAAGGCUUGUCCUUGGCUACAACUGUCCCACAGUUUCUAAUCACCAUUUUCACAAGUCUUUUCUUUAGAGCUAAUUGGGAUCAUGUAUUUGUUUCUUCACUGAAAGUGAAACUUUUUUCAAUGUCUUUGCCAACAUCACUGACUGGAUUGUAAUAAUUGAAAGACAAAGCAUGUGAUGCUUCAUAAGUUCAUGUCUCUUACUGCUAUGUCCCAUCCAAUAGCUUCUAAGGCGCUCUUUAUAAAGUAUAUAAAUAUAACAUUGGAUAUGGUCUAAACGCAAUCACAAUUCUUUCACAUCCUCAACCAAAAGAAGCUUUCUUCUCUCUAAAACUCGUUCUGUGAUUUUCUUGUUGCUCUAAGUAUACAGAUUAUAUCGUACACUACAAACAUGAGGCUUCAACAUCUUCUUAAAAGAAACCAAGGAGUUUCUGCAGUUCCAAAGGGCUAUUGUGCAGUCUAUGUUGGAGAAAGCCAAAAGAAGCGAUUCGUGAUCCCCAUAACUUACUUGAAUCGACCAUGUUUUCAACAGCUGCUUUGCCAAACUGAAGAAGAAUUUGGUUACUAUCAUCCGAUGGGCGGUCUUACAAUUCAUUGCAGAGACGACAUUUUUACAGAUCUCAUCUCUAAUAUGAAUGAUCUAUGAGAGAUGAACUGAAAUUUAUAGAAAUGUAGUCAAUCUUGUAGAAUAGGAACAUUAGAAUUAACCAAAACCAUGUACAUUUUUUUCAUUUUCCUUCUUUUUUUGUUUCCUCGUGAUGGGAGUAAAAGAAUGUUUCCCUUCAUUAAGGAAAUUACCAGUGAUGGAAAUGAAAUGGCCACAACUUUACUUGAAAUUGAAGAGAUCUCUUACUUCAAAAAGUAUUUUCCUUUAUUCAUGGCUAUGCUUCUUUUCUCUGUUUAUGUAAAUAAAUUAUAUGGAUCACUUUUCUAGAGCCUGAGCAUUCACAGAAAAGAUGGUAACCCAUUUAUAUUGAGUAUUGACUCUUUUUUUUGGCUUGACUGCAUCAAACAAGCACAGUGAGGUUUAUAAUAACAAAAAAACAUGAUCAAUUGAUUUUGUUAGUAUAUAAUAUCUGUUAAUCAUAAUUAAUAAUAGGCCAUGAUUGGCCUUCCAUGAAGAUGCAGCAUGUUCAUAUAAACAAAUGCGUUUUUUCACUUCUGAGAGUAGGUAACAAGACUAUAUUGUUUAUGAUAGUUUGAUUCCUUCAGCCUUGUAACUCUUUUUCUUGCCUUCCAGCUAUAAGUGGUAUACAUAUUAUUGGAUCUCAGGCAAAGCAAAGUGCUCCCAAGAACUCACAAACAAAAAGGAUCUGAUUAUAAUGUACAUAUAUGGUGCUUCACAAUCUUCUUAAAAGAAACCAAGAAGUUUCACUGAAUCCUAAGGGAUUUUCUGCAGUCUAUGUUGGAGAAAUGGUUGGUGAUCCCGAUAACUUGCUUAAAUCAACCAUGUUUUCAAGAAUUUCUGUCGAACUGUAGAAGAACUUAGUUACCAACAUGCUGUGGGUGGUCUUACUAUUCAUUGCAGAUACGACAUUUUCAUCCAUAUCAUCUCCCAUUUGAAUGAUUUGUGAGAGAUGCACUGACAUCUACAAUAUAUACAACCCAUUUGUAGAAUAGAGAUAUUAAAUGUAACCAAAACUAUGUGCAUUCUUUCAUUUACUCAUAUUUUUUUAUUUCCUUCAGAGGGGAGUAAAGGAAUGUUUCCCUACAUUAAGGGAUUGAAUUGGCCAUAUCUUUCCUGAAAGUGGAAAAAGUUUAUUGCUUGAAAAAGUAUUCUCUGUGUCUUAUAUAUGGCUUUACUUCUCUUCUUUACUUACGCAAACAAUCUACUUGGAUGAAUAUUAAUUCUUAGACGAUACAAAAAAGAAGCUACAUCAUUCAUAUCAGCUGUUUUGGUUGCACAAACAACAAUUUUCAAUCUACAAUCGAACUAAUACCUUCACAACUAGUAUUUUAUUUCAAAAAAAUUUAAAACAGUUAUCAUCAAUUCCCUCAUUUCCUUAGAUUUACCUAUUGAGCAAUUCAAGAAGCUGCUAGUAGCAAAAAUGUUUCAGGGUUCUGAUUUAUUUCCAAUUAUGAGCGGAUCAUGAAGAAGAGAACCAAAGUUCAAAUCUGUACAAGAGAACCUGUUUGAUAAAACUGCUCAGAGAUCCUGCUAGAGAGUACAACUUAGUUUCCUUAAGAGCUAGCUUUCCUUAAGAUUCAAAAUAGACAGAAAAGUAAGAUAAUGUUAUUGUCUUUCCUCAAGUUACUUGGAGAAGAUCAUCAUUCAUUUAUGAGAUAUAUUUAUUACAAUUUCUACUUUGAGGUGCUCCAUUCACAUAUGCAAGGGGAAAUCCUGAUUUUUCUUUCUCUAAAACCUUCACUGGUCUAGCACCUCCAUGUUAUAUAGUCUAGGAAUUAUCUGCAUGAAUGCUAUCUCCCUUAUGAUGGGAUUAGGUAGUAGGGUAGAGCUGCAGGCCAUGUACAUAUGACAGAGGCCACUGACUUGUUUAGGUCUGUCUGAACUUGUAACAUUCAUAUUUAUUUCAUUGAACUUCAGCUGGCAGGCAAAGCCACGUGGUUCACUCUUAUCUCUGUCCUUCACUGGGCCCAAUUGGCUGAUUUCCUCUCCACCACUUGUUGCUCAAGAGUUAAGGAGAACCGAAAUAUUUCAUCUUGUGUAUAUAUAGAAGUGGAUCCUAAUGGAGUUCUCACCACAUUUCCAAAUUGUUCUAUCUUCCAUUCAAACAUAACUUGAAACAAGACUUGCAGAAUCAGUAUACAGUUUUCCAUCAUGGGUAUUCGUCUACCUGGUGUUGUUAAUGCCAAACAAAUUCUCCAUAGGAUUCGCAAUUCAGAUUCAAUUCCAAAAGGUCACUUGGCUGUUUAUGUUGGAGAAACACAGAGGAAGCGCUUUGUUGUACCUGUUUCUUACUUAAGUCAUCCUUCUUUUCAGACAUUGUUGAGUCAGGCUGAAGAGGAGUUUGGUUUCCAUCAUCCCAUGGGAGGUCUCACGAUUCCAUGUAGAGAAGAAGCUUUCCUUAACCUCACUCAAAGUUUGAAUGGCUCAUGAUUCUCCACGUGGCUAGAUUUAGUUUAGAAAAUAGACAGAAGAUUAGGGCCAACAAUUUUGUCAUUAGAAAAUUCAUCCUUCAGUUAUUGUAUAGCUCAUUCUUUUGGUUUAAGGAAACUGAAUAAUGAAUUACUCAAUGCACAUACUUUGGUUGGAAGUUCUCCCUUUAUUAGUUGUCCAUACAUUAAGAAAUAUAUAUCAGAAAAAACAGCUAAAUUUGUGCUAAUAAUCAUUGCUUUCUUAUGAUUUUUCCCUCAAAUGCACCUAUUUUGGCCCUGAAGUCCUAUCCUUGAAAGGCCAUGGCUGAUCUUUCUCAAAAUCAUUGCAAAAGUCAAGAUCUUUGAGGAGAUUUUCCUGAGAUUAUGCAAUAUCAAAAGAGAUUAAGGAAAAACUAGGCCACAAUUAGAUAAGGAUUAAGGACGGCAUGAAAAGAAAAAAGGUAUAGCUUUUUCUAAGUGGGACCAUUCUAAGUUAUUCACAAAGAAAUGGUUAGUGUAUUUAUACAAUAACCAAUAAGAAAGAAGUCCUUUUUGAUGUUAUGAUAGACAGAACUAUAUGAUGUGGUAUCUUCAAGGAUUGGACAUGUCAACCACUAUACAGUCAGAAUCAGUUCUAACUUCUUAGAAGACAGAACUAUGAAAUCCCACAAUGGCUAAUCAUAUUCUCUGUAGCUCGGCAGGCACACUGAUCACAUUAACCGAGCCACUUCUCAGUUCUUCUUCACUUGUUUGUUCAUCUUGAUAUAUGACAAGAAGCUAUUCUACAGCAAUAAAGCAUAUCAAAUUGAGUUGGACAAAAUUUUCUUGACCAAAUGUGUAAGGUCAUGAUGGUUCUAAGAGGAAGAUGAUCACUUGUAAAGGUGAGUCAUAAAUAUGUUGGUUUUCCAGAACUUUUCUCUAAUGUUUUUGUACAACGGCAGGGUGGGGGAUCAAUCCUCCAACCUCGAGGAAGGGAGAUGAUGCCAAUUACCGUUUAAAUAGUCUGUUUUAUAAUUCUAUCCCCUCUCACUCUGAUCCUGUCUCACAAAUUAGCACUUUUAAUUAUUCCUUGUCUUUUGCUAAUCAAUCCAGCUAGGCAGUUGAAAAUUGUGGCCCAUGAUGUGAUUUUUCUGAAAAUUAACAGGUAUUGAAGCAAUGAAAAUCAAGAAUAGAAUCUGUAACUCAUAUACUUGUUCUAUCAGCUGGUAAUGUGGAAAAACCAUCUGGGCCAUCAAUGCCAAUGUCUACUUCCUCAUAUGGUUUGUGCUAAACUAAGACAACAAUUAGUUGACGUCAACAUUUUGGAAAUAGUAUGGUUUUUCAUUCAGUGAACUUAUAUUGAAAAGGAAAACACAGUUAAAGACAUAUACCACCAAUGACAGUACAAUUCAAAGAAAAUAAGUAGCAUGACUUUUCAUUAUCAUGUGCUGAAGCUCAAAAAACUCCACCAGUAUAUUCAAGAUCAAGACAGAAGAACAUGGCUUACUGAUCAGUAUUUGGAAGACAAAACCAUGGGCUGCACAAGCGCUUAUCUCUUCCUAGGCCCCCAUCCAAAGAUUUCUAGCCAUUGGUUUCAUUACCUUUCAGUUUCAUCAUCUAUAUAUACAUUUGAUUUCUUGUACAAACACCAGUCUUCUCAUUCCCUUUCAUUUCUCAAGGAGCAUUGAAAUAUAUUCUUCUUCCUGCUAGGAUUUCCUCCAUCAAUUGAAUUAAAAAAGUCAUGGGACUUCGUAAUAUUCUCCAGCGGUCAUCAGUUCCGAAGGGCUAUUGUGCAGUGUAUGUUGGAGAGAAUCAAAAGAAGCGAUUCGUGAUUCCGAUAACUUACUUGAAUCAGCCAUGUCUACAAGAUUUGCUUAGUCAAACUAGAGAAGAAUUUGAUUAGUAUCAUUCAAUGGGUGGUCUCACAUUUAACUGCAAAGAUAAUAUCUUCACUGAAUUGAUCUCUCAGUUAAACCAACAACUAUGAGAGGAACAACAAAUUUUUUGUAGAGUACAAUUUUGAUCAAGAACAAUAGGCAUAGACAUUCUUUAUGUUUUCUUCCAUGGGAGUAAAAGAAUGUGAUCUCCCUGCAUGAGGAAAUUACUAAUGGAUGACUUUAUGGAAAAUCAAGCGUUUCUUUCUCCAAAAAUAACUUUGGAAAUUACAAAAAAAAUGAGAUUAUUUUGGAGGGUAGAAAGAGUUUUGAGAUUGGUUUAAAAAAAAUAUUUUAAAAAUAAAUAAGUUGAAGAAAAAGUCUAUAUUACCCUUUUAUAAAAAAGGCCCUAAAGAUUAAAUUUAUGCCAUUCUUCUCAUUUUCCUUCUCCUCGUGUUCUCUUCUCGCGUGGCUUUCCCCUUCUCCCUCACUUUCUCUUCUACUAACGCAAAGUGCAGCCCGACUUCAACUCUUCUCCUUUCUCAGUCGCCUUCGCGUCUCCUUCACAGUCGCCGACUCUUCAGCCCUUCGUGGUGGUUAGUUCAUGUGCGGCGUGCAAGAUUCUGCGCCGGAGAUGCGCUGAGAAAUGCGUAUUGGCGUCCUAUUUUCCUCUUUCUCAGCCUCUCAAGUUCCCCAUUGCUCACUGUAUCUUCGGCGCUAGCAACAUCAUUAUACUGCUUUGGUACUUUCUCUUCUACAAUAAACUGCUUUGGUACUUUCUAUUCUACAAUUGCUUCAAGUUCCCCAUUGCUCACUUAGAUUUUACAUUUUUAACUAGUCAAGAUUCUUUUUUUGCAAUUACGCAGAAAUUUUUGUACGUGGUUGUAGCACUUUUUAAAGAUUUAAAGCAUUCAUUGAGCACAAAAAAUAAUGUAUCUAAGGUUCGUGCACUAACUUAACAUGAUCUCAAGGAAAAGGAAAUGGGGUUAAUUAUAUCUAGGUGUGAUAAUGGAGUUAAAAGUUUUUUUUUUUGGAGUUAAAUGGGUUUCAAUUUUGAAUCUCAAGAUGACUACCGACUGCACUGGAGAUGCUGCUUUUGACAUGCUGCAACCGGAGCGUGACCUUCGCUUGAAUUGGGAAGUCGAUCUCGCCCAGAACCUUGAGCGAUAUCUCUUGCAGAUUUGCUCCGGUGAGUUUCAGUCCGACGAAGACGAGAACCACACUGUCAAUUUUGCUGAAGGUGAGGUUUCUUUUACGGUGUUUUGAAUUGUGAAAAAAAUUGAAUAUUUCUGAUUGAGUAAUGCAUUUUGGGUUUUUUUUUUGUCGGGUGUAGCUGCUCUGCUUCUCCAGGGCUCGAUUCAGGUUUACAGUCGGAAGGUUGAAUACCUUUACUCGUUAGUUUUGCGAGCAUUGGAGUUCCUUUCUGAAAGAAGGUCUGAUUAUUUUAUUUAUUUAUUUAUUCUUUAAUAAAUAUUUUCAUAAGCUUUUAUUUGAACAGACAGCAACAUCACUUAGAAGGGAACUCAAUAGAGGCUGAACAAAAUGGUUCUCAUAAAAUUGACGAGGGCGAGAACGAUCUAUAUUGGGUUUCAGAGGAUGUGCCAGGUAGCUUAUCUAUUUUAUGUCAUAGUGAAACUUGUGAAGUAUUUAAGUUAAAUAACAUUUAGAUUUAUGAUUCAAAUUUUGCAGUUGAUCCAAAGAAUACCCUGGACAGUACCAAGGAAGAUGUUUGGUUGAAUCAAACGGUAAAACCUCCUGCAAAUUUAAUCGUUCUUGAAGGUGAUUGCUUGGAUUCAUCUGAUAAUGGAGAACUAGAUUCAUACUUGGUAAUUGGUUGCUAUGAUUAAUUAUUUUUUUUUGUUUCUUUUACCUUUUAUAUCAUUUGACAGUCAAUAAUAAUUUCUUUUAAUUAUGCAGUUGGCCACCGCUAGUAAUAUUUUCCAAGAUUUUAUACUUUUAGAUUCGUCUGAUGUUAAAACAUUCGAAGAUUUUAUGAAUGAGAACAAUAAGUUUGGAAAAAGUCAUAAUAGUGCACGUAGGGGCAGCUCGACCCGCAGGAGUUGUCAGUCUCAAUCAACUAUGCAAAGAUCAUCUUUUGGCAAGACUCAGGUUGGUGAUCAUGCUGCUGCUCAAUCACCACUUGUCAGCGGUAGCUUCGUACAUGAUCCUCUUGGAAAUUCUGAAUCAGACGACUCAAAUGGUUGUGAAGAUGAUGAUGAUUUUUGGAAGCCUUUGAAUCCUCAUGAACCAGGAAAUUUGAAAAUAAAACCAUUUAGAAAAGGUUGUUUGCCCACUUCAAUUUACAUUCAUUUCCUUUCAAUUUUUGUUUAAAAGUAAACUCUUUUUUAAUUAUUAUUUUGAAUGUUCUCUCUCUUCUUGCAUGUCAGUUAAAGCUUUUAAAAAGAACUAUAAGAAAUCUGGUAAGCAUGAGUUUCUAAUAGCUUUGUUUCCAAUGGCGAAACUACAUGGCCCCGUUAGUCAAGAGUUUGCACAGAUUUGGGAAGAGCAGAACCAGGGAUUCGAAGCUCAUAAAGAAUCCAAAUCUGUUUUAUUAUAUGAGAAGGUACAGUUUUGUGUAUGUUUUUACUAAUAAAAUGUUUCUUCCAGUUGACAGACUAACUAUUGUGACUACAGUUGCGAAAUUCACUUAUCAAUGAAGGUCAUAAAAGUUGUGAUUCCCUUUCUGAUAUGGAAGAUGACAAUAUCGAUAAUGGUUUUGAAGACGCAAUGCCUGAUGUCAAUCAUCCAGAUAUUGGUGACCCCAACGAUCAUUUUAUGGAUGAGGCUAUGUGUUUUGGGAAUGAAAAGGUUGAGUAAACUGUGCGACACAUUCUUAUUGUAGGCUAAUUUUUCUUUUGAAUUACUAUUGAUUGUUAAGUCGUGGGUUUUAUGCAGCAUGAUGUUGCGGCUCAUUUUGAUAAUGGUGAAGCAUAUGAACCUGAAUUUCCAGAUUCUCGUUCAAGUCUAGAAGAUCUUUGUCGCUCUCAUCUUGUAAGUGAUAUCUGUGGACUUAUCACUUGACUUUACCUAUUUGCAAUCUGUCUGGCUCUUAAUUUUUUAAGGAAAAUUAUUUUAAAUGUCAUAACUGUUGAAAGUAUUACAAAUGUAACAAAGUUUCAGAAUCUAUCAAUGAUAGACAGCCCAUUUUUUUAAUUAUUUGUUUGUAUUGUUAAUUUUUUUUGCAUACAUUCUCAUUUACUGAUGAAUGGAAAAAUAAUCUGUUCCUAUCAUCCUGAGAAUAUACGGGGCUCUCGGUACUUGUGUUUGAAAAAAUGCAUGGCACAUGAUGAGGUUAUGCAGACUUGUGCACUUAAAUAUCCUUCAAAAUUAAUACAUUAUGUCCAUGAUUUUAGUUGAUAGAUUUGCAGGAGCUUUUGGAAAUUAUAAGAAUAAAACUGCAAAACCUGGAACAUGACAUCCACAGAUGCAAAUCAUGCCUAGUUUUUUGUUCUUUUGUUCUUUUUAUCAUAUUUACAAUGGUAGAUGGUCACCUACAAUUUUUUCUUUAAAGGAUGCCCUCCUUGCAAGCAUUGCUGAGAGUGAGAAGCAGACAGAAAUGGCCACUCGAGUCUCUACAUGGAAACAAAAUAUUGAACACAAUUUGGAAGAUCAAGUAAUUCCAUUUAAUGUUAUUAUACCCCAGUUUCACUUUUGUUGUCUGUAUGGUAUGACCGAUGGUUAUUUAUUUAUUUUUUCUGGGUUUGAGAAGUUUUUUUUUAUUUUUUUUGUGAUAGGACAAACACCCGCCGUUUGAUAUUCAUGAAUACGGUCAAGCAAUUCUUGAAGAAUUAUCUAGUGAUGCUGACAGAGGAGGUCUCGUGCCUUUCUCUAAUGUUGUUGAAAGGCAGGAAAAGUACAAUGUGGCACGAAGUUUUUCCGCUCUACUUCAGUUGGUAAUGUACUGAACUACAUUAUAAAAGUACCGAGAUUGGUGAAAUUUAGGGACUGAAAGCUUGUGAUUUGUAUGCAAAUAAUUUCUUAAAGUUUAUUUUUUAUGGAUGAAAAUUGGAAUUGACAAGUCAUUUUCAGGUGAACAACGGAGAUGUGGAGCUGGAAAAGAAUGGGGUUGAUGGGGAGUCAAUUUGCUAUACUAAUGUUAAUCCAUUCUACAUUAGGCUUGUUCGCCACAAGAAACAGGUUUCAAGAGAAAGGUUUCUGUCCCCAUGUAAAACUAAUACUGUCAAAGAAUCUAGUGUGAGAGACAAGAAAGGACGAAAGUAGGGAGACAAAGAUCUUGAUUUGUUGAACCAGUUGAUUAACAUUCUACUGGACGACAAUCUAAUGUACAGUUGAGUAUUUGUAUAUAUAGUAAAGCAAUUCAACACAGGUUGUUGUGGCGUUGAGCAUCAACCUUUUGUUGGGGACAUAUUUCUGCUUCCCUCGUUUAGAUUACUUUAUUUGAUGUAAUUUUCAAUGGCGGGGCUCGGGAGAAGUAUAUAUUUCCACUUCUGUUUUUAUUCCUACUACUUCACCACUUUAUUAUUCUCUCCCCCAAAAUUAACACUCAUUUCAUCAAUUCAUGAACAAACUUGUUAGGUCCUCUUUCACCACCUUAAGAACAUAUUUUCUCAUCAUACUCACUAACUCCCACUUUUCUUUAUAGACUUGAAAACAAUUAGAUAGAGUAUCCCAUAGUCUUACAAAAAAUUUACUAAUUAUUUGACACACCCUUUAUUUUGUGAACACCAUGUAGUACUUGAAUGUUAUUUUUGUUCCUGGAUUCCAUACUAGAAAAGUUAUCAUUGGCUCACACCAACAAAAUAGUUUAAAUUACUUGGAUGAGCAAAUUUUACUGAAGGAAACCACGAGAUAUGGGUCUAGAAAAACAGUUACCGAUGAUGUUCCUCUAUGCAUAUUGUUCCAUGAACUCAUCAUUGAACUUUUUAAAACUUGCCAUGAUCGCUGGCAUCUCCUCCUCAUCAUUGAACUCUUUCUUUGUUUUGUUUGCAUUUUUCUUUCUAGGUUUUGUUUGUUUGGUCAUAUAUUGUACUUAUCUGCUUUAGAUUCAAUCCAAGCUUUGAUAUGAUUGAUGCAUGGAACUUAUCCAUUUUGAGUAUUUCUAUUAUACCUUGUUUUGUUUCUGGUUGAUCCUUAGUCUUUGCUUGAGUGAGAUUCUUUAAAGAAAAAUACAACGUUUAUAUAUGUUUAUGAAUCAUUCAAGGUGUUACUAUAUAUGUUUAGGAGCGUAAGUAGUUCAGUUUAGUAUGUUUUAUCUCGCACGUAUCUCACACCAUCUCACACAUUUCAAACAUUCAUUAUGAGUUUCAAAAUCACAUUGUUAUUCCUUCCAAGUCAUUUAGAGUGAUUAUGUGCAUGUUUCCUAAGUUUAUUAGGUCAUUAUGUUAUAUCUUGCAAUAUCAUAUUUCAAACUUUCACUCUAAGUUUCAAAAUAAAAUUCCUACCCCUUCCAAGCCAUUUAGAGUUAUUCUAUGCAUGUUUUGUAAGAUUAUUAGGCCAUUAUGUUAUAUCUUGCAGCAUCUCGCAUCUAUCUUGUACGUUUCAAACUUUGACUACUAGUUUCAAAAUCAAAUUGCUACCUCUCUUAAGCCAUUUAGAGUGAUUUUAUGUAUGUAUAGUAAGUUUAUUAGGCCUUCUAUGCAUGUUUAAUAAGUUUAUGAUGCAAUUAUAUUUCAUUUGUUCCUUUUUGUGGUCUGGAAUGGUGUUGCCCAUUGGUAAAUAUAUCAAUUGCUGUCCUUAGGUCACUUUAUAGCAAAAUGCAAACAAACAUGAGCAUGAAGGGAAACUAUCAACAAGAUCAAAAUCAGUGCAUAAGCUUUCUAAAAAUUAUGGUUCUAAAACUGCUACGAAAGAAGCGUCUAAUGAGUCUGCAACAAAUGAUGAAAAGUGCCAUACAGAUUGUGAUGCUCGUGAAAACCAUCAAAUGAAGGUAACAUCUUGCAACCUAAUUGAAAAUUUUAACUCCAAAUCCAUUUUUGUUUCUUUGCAAUAUAGUAAUAGUUUAUUAACCAAUGCAUCUGUCACUACACUGUACAGCUAAAUUCACUUUUACAAAUCUACGUGGUUGUUUAACAGUGUUAGUUACGUCUAUAGAUAGAGUGAUGUCAGAUGAUAUAUAAUUAAAUUCGCCUUCACUCGCUAGCUUAAACUUAUUAUCACUUUCAAGCCAUUUAGAAAGUUAAAUUUUAAAUUUUAUUCUCACUAAAUAACAUAAUGUUUCAUCUCAAAACUAAUUGACAACGAAAAAACUAGCCCACAUACAUCUUCUAUCAUGAGAUCCCUUGAUUUCCCUCAAAUCCUUCCCAUUCCUUUGCCACAAUCAAAAAUUUUCUAAACCAAUUAAGGGAAUCAAGACGAUAUAUACUGGGGAUUUGGUGGGCACAUAAAAGUUGAAACAAGACAACAAAUAUUUGAAGACUAACAAUUGGGAGAUGAUUGUUUCUCUUUUCCUCAUUCAGUGAAUUCACAUUAAAAAGACAAAUAUAGUUCAAGACGUAUACCACCAAUUAUAGUAUCAUCCACAAAAGUUGAGGUAUCAGUUUCUCUUUAACAUGUUCUAAGGUACAAAAACUGAUAUGCCAAUCUAUUUCUCAGGUGAACAAUGGGGUUAGUGCUUCCAUUUUUCUUUGAAAAAGACAGGACAAUAUAACAUUAUUUACCACAAUCAUUCCCUUAACUGAUAAGUAUUUGGAAGACAAAACCAUGUGCACAAGCAUUCAUCUUUUGCUAGGCCCCAUUCAAAGAUUUCUAGCCAUUGGUUUCACAGCCCUUUUAACGUUAACCCUCUAUAUAUAUACAUAUACAUAUUAGUUGUUCACAAACAACACAAAAAUCUUCUCAUUCCAUUCACUUUUUUUAAUCAAUGGGACUUCGUCGUCUUCUAAGACGGUCUUCCAUGAACGGAAACCAGAGAGUUUCAAUGGUUCCUAAGGGCUAUUGUGCAGUCUAUGUUGGUGAGAAUCAAAAGAAACGGUUCGUGAUUCCGAUUACUUACUUGAAUCAACCAUGUUUUCAAGACUUGCUCAAUCAAACUACUGAAGAAUUUGAAUAUUAUCAUCCAAUGGGCGGUCUUACAUUCCACUGUAGCGAUGAUAUCUUUGCUGAUUUGAUCUCUCACUUGAAUGAACAACUAUGAGUGAUAAUACCAACAUAUUUAUGGAGUACAGUUUUGAUCUUGGAAAAUAGGCAUGAGAUAUUUCAUUGUAAAUUCCAUUAAUCUUUGAAAUCUUUUUUUCUUUUUUAUGGGAGUGAAAAAGAACUGAUCUCCCUGCCUUAGGAAAUUGCUAACGGAUAUAACUUUAUGGAAAAUGAAGAGCUUCUUUCUUGAGUUACUAAAAUCUUCAUUACUCAGCUGAUUUUAUGUAUGGUUGUAGUUUUAAUGAGCAAACUCGAAGUCAGUUUAGAAUGACCGUUUUAAGCACUUUGAAAUAUCCCAAACUAGCUUUAGCAUAUCUAUGGUUUUCUUAUGGAAAUCUAAUGCUAUUUCAUAUCUGAUAAAAAUUAGUGAAUACGACUCUCUUAUACCUGAUAUUAAGAAUGAAACUGUAACAAGAAAAUGAAUUAGUUCAAAGAUCUCGAAAACUCACCAUCCAUCAAAGAAUUGAAUGGAGUUCUUUGACACCCCAACCAUAAUCUUCUUUAUUACUCAAAAAGUUGGAGUUGUAAACUCCAUCCAAGGAGUUGAUGAGCCUCACGACUAUAGAACAUAAAGUUUAAACGUUAUUAACUCUUUAUAGAUCCACAACUUCACUACUCUCUCGAUUUCAUUAUUUCACUCAUUUUCCCAAACAUCCUCUAACUUUGUAAUUGUUGAAACAAAAGUUGCUUCAAAUGAACAAGAAAGCGGAAUGGCAAAUCCCUUUUGCUGUCACUCUCCAAUAUAAACUGUUAAGUAAUCCUUUUUACUUUUUAGUGAAAGCUUAUAUGCCUUUUUAGUGAAUUAUUGAGUUUGCAAAUGCUGAAAUGUAUGCUAACGACAUGAUCGGUUAUUCCUCACAAAACUUCCUGAUAGAAAAAUAUGAUUUGCUGAAACAUUAUGUGCCAUUGAUUAUCAACUUUUUUCCCUUUUUGCAUUUCAUUGAGCAAAUAAAUAAGAAGUACCAUAAGUCUUCAGCUUUCCCUAUGCUACAUUCAAAAUGAACUACGCAGAAAAUGGUUUUGCCUUCACAUAGCUGCUGCAGGUAAAUACAAUAUUUUAGUGAUGGUAGUUGAUUGAAAUAUUUCAAUAAUUCAAUUCUUUGAAAGAAAAAGUCACUUAUGAGAAUUGAAUUGCUACAAGAAACCUCUUCUCAGCGAGAUGAAUGGAUCAAAUUCACAAAAACUAAUUUCAUUGAUGUAUUAAUCUUUGAAAAAUGUAAUAUAUAAAUAUAUCUUAUUAGUUUUUGAAUCAAAAUUUAAUUUUGUAGCAACAUUUAACAUUUUCACUCACGUCUGGGUUUACAAAUUUUCACGAAAUCCAAUAAGUAAUUAUCAAUAGAAAAUGAGGAAAUGCUUUGAAGACUAGACUUCUUGCUUUUGUACCAUAAUAAAAUUUCUCUAACAUUACUCGUGGCGCAUGGACAACUUAUGUACCAAAUUCAACUUAAUCUUUCUAAUACUUGUGAAGAAUGGUCCAUAGCCAUUGGAUCUACGUGUGCGGCGUUACUAGCAAGUCAAGCUCGAGACUAAUUUACCUUAGCUUCUAAGGAUAUAGAUCUCCAAUCUUUGCCUCUCAGCACAACUAUGAGCAUGACCAUUGGCUUUCUGAUAUAGUUUCUUUAACCAAAAUAUUUACAAAGGAAGAAGCACAAGAAGUAGAAAACAAGGAAUACAAUAAAAUACAGGAAUAUAUAUAUAUAUAAUACAUGUAUACCGAAAGGAUCGUCAACUAGAACAUGUCCUUAGGCUGGACGGAUAUAAAAAGCUAUCUCUGUUUGCCAUUCAUCUUUACAUGCUGUAUGGGUUUGCUUUUACUAUGCAAGCCAAUUAUACAUUGGAUGCUACUUCUUCCUUCAAGAAAGAAAGUUUUCUUUUAAAGAAAUCAUAACAUUCACUUUAAAGUAUGAGCUACCACUUUAUUGCGCAUAGCUGGUUCUCACACGAAUGACACUGGCGAUUUAAAACAGUAGAUACACGAGAUUGAGCGUAAACUGAAGGCGUAGAUUUCAUGUCAUGUAAAAAACCUAUUUGCUUUUUCAUAUUUGGAGACACUCAUACCUCUUGUUCCCCGACUGAUAAAAUGCUGAAAGAUGCUGCAGAAGUAAAGGAAAAGGACAGGAUUGCAGUUUUGAGGUUUGAACAUAACAUGAGUUUUAUAAUACAUGAACAUUAAUGGAAUUUUCAUGUCAUUUUUAUCUCUUUUUGGUAAGAACCCGAGCUUUAGUUGAGAAACGAAUGAAAGGUUGACAACAACAUACAGAAAAACAAGCCUAACAAAAGAAGAAAGCAAGAACUAACUACAGAAAAAGACGUACUCCAAUCCUACAAAAUCAAACCAAGAUCAUAAUUAUGAAAGAAAAAAGAAUUUUCAUUCACAUCCAAAUGUGUCCUCCAUUAGCAACAAUUCUUCUUUCCAAGUUCCCAUAAAGCUCAUAGGCCAAAGUUUUGGAAGAUAGUAGACUAUUAUAUUCACUUAGAAGCUAUUUUAUGUCACUUCUGUUCGUAGAUAUGAUAUUAUGGUAAUGACUUUUUACUUUUAUAUAGAUCGUAAACAAAGAAAUAUGUCCAAUGACAUAAGAAAUAUACAUUAAGAUAAGGUACUUCUACAUCCAAUUUCAUAGCUUUGUCAAUUCAAAAAAUGGCAAUCAAGUCAGGUGGUGUUAGCAAGAAUCUAAGGAGAUGGCCGCCGGUCGACCUUUAAUCAAGGCCAAAAAUAGUGUUUUCAAUCUAACUGUCUCUAGCCAAAUGGCUGAAGAAAAUCUCUUCUGUACAAGAGAAAGUAAGGCCACCCAUUGGAUGAUCAUAUCCAAACUCCUCUUCAGCUUGACUCAACAAGUUAUGGAAUGAAGGAUUGCCCAAAUAUGCAACAGGGACCAAAAAUCUCUUCUUUUCAGUCUCUCCAACAUAGACAGCCAAGUGGCCUUUCGGCACGGCUGCAGUUCUCGACAACUGACGAAUACGCCAUGGGAAGUGCUUUGGAAUUGCAAUUCUUGGCAAAGGGAUGCCCAUUUUUGGUAAUAGGUGGUGGUAAAUGAAUCUCAAGAGAAUUGGAAAUGGUAGCUGCUGUGAUGGGAAUUGGUGUUCUUUGAAUUGUGUGUAUAUAUAAAGAAAACAAAUCGGCAAAUUGCCUUUUUGUAGUGAAAGAACAACCACAAUGGAUUGAGUUUUGGGCCAUAAUCUAUAAAGGUCACAUGGCUUUGUCCCCCAACAAAAAGCCAUGGUGAACUUCAUUUCCUAUUGUUAAUUUCUUUUUAUAACAAACCAUGAGGACCUACAAUUCUCAGUCAAACAAAUUAUUUUUUGGCCAUCAUCACAUUCAUACAUUGUGGAUCAUUUGAAAAGAAGAAAAGACGAGAAUCAUUUCAAGAGACCAAUAAGCAAAAUCAUAUGGCAGAUAAUCUUUUUAAAAACGUAAAUCAAAACGAUUGAUUUGUCGAUGUUCUUGACCAUAUACACGUGAAUUCUACAAGGUCUUGCAACCUUUGGUCUUUGGAAGCUAGCCAACAAAUACAUUAUCAUAAAAUGUCAUAAUAUUUAAACAAAAACCAUUGGCUACAUGAAGAUUACAGGAAUUUGGUCCUGAAUUUGAAGGGGUCAUAGAUCAAGUAGUUGAAAUAAAAUAGACCAAACAGUUUAUUUCUAUUUUCUUUUAAGUGAACUUUAGGAAUACAUGGGCAUCUACAAAUUAGGGCGGUAUAAAGAAAAAAGGACUCCAAUCAAGAAGAAUAAGACCUAGUAAGUAAUUACAAAAUGACUGUCAUUGAUGCCUAAACAGAAACACAGAAUCUAACAAGAGACCAAACGUCAGAAGGAUCUCUCUCAAUACCUCUAAUGCCCCCAAAGACUCCAAAAAACACAAACGUGGCGUGCACAAGGACCUUCCCUUCUCAUGAAACAGAGGAGGAAGAAGGAACUCCUUAGUCAUCUCCAUGCAGACUAACUGGAAACCAAGCACAUAACAAACAAUAAUUCCAAGCAGAUCAAGCAAUAUUCUUAUGUAUUUGUACCAAUAUCAAAUGAGUGUUAAAUUUAUCACAAAACAUUGAUUAAUCAUGGAUGAUACUUUUUGAUGAAAAGCAUUAUCUUAAUUAUUGAUGAUAUAAAGACGCAAAAGCAUUAUCUUAAUUAUCCAAAGUUAAUUUCACUUCAUUUCUUUUUGUGUGUAGCUUGAAAUGACUAUGCUUUAUGUCUUUCCUAUAAAUCCCAACUUUUUAGAAAAUAAAGUGAUAUGGGAAACUUUAAUAAUAACUUUUAUGUCAUGGACUCAUGCUUGUGGAGCCUAAUCAUAAAUAAUCUAGAAAAGAAAUCACAUAGAGCUCUAAAUAAGAGACCAAUUGUUGAGGAUAGAAUUAUAGUUAUAGAAAGUUUGGUGUUGUUUCAAAAUGUUAGAGCCCUAACAUUAAUUCAUUGUUGAAUAAAUCUUUCAAAAUUUAUGAAGUCCAACAAAAAUGAAUUAAUAGUUUAUUUAUUUUAACUUCUAUCAGCAUAAAUUCUAAAAUUUUGUAAAUAUAUUAGUUUAUUUGGUAUGUUUAAAAGCAUUCCUAAAAUUUAAUUGAAACAAAA